This 200-nucleotide unclassified non-coding RNA is filed under the name uncultured Trichosporon. Its description in RNAcentral is "sequence contains ITS2". The record is from RNAcentral. Lineage: Eukaryota; Fungi; Basidiomycota; Tremellomycetes.
UCGCGGAGCGAUUAGAAGCACGCUUCACAAUGCCAUUCCAGCGAAACUUAUUACGCCAGAUAGCAAUAGUAAACUUGCUAACUCCUUUAAGAGGAGCCAGUUAGACUGGCAACCUCCAAAUCCAAGCCAUUAAGAAACCCUAAUGGUUGAGAUUUCAUGACACUCAAACAGGCAUGCUCUCCGGAAUACCAGAGAGCGCA